GAUGAAGAACGUAGCGAAAUGCGAUAAGUAGUGUGAAUUGCAGAAUUCAGUGAAUCAUCGAAUCUUUGAACGCACAUUGCGCCCCUUGGUAUUCCAUGGGGCAUGUCUGUUCGAGCGUCAUUUGUACCUUCAAGCUUUGCUUGGUGUUGGGUGUUUGUCUCGCCUCUGCGUGUAGACUCGCCUUAAAACAAUUGGCAGCCGGCGUAUUGAUUUCGGAGCGCAGUACAUCUCGCGCUUUGCACUCAUAACGACGACGUCCAAAAGUACAUUUUUACACUCUUGACCUCGGAUCAGGUAGGGAUACCCGCUGAACUUAAGCAUAUCAAUAAGCGGAGGA
Molecule: unclassified non-coding RNA, 337 nt
Filed under: soil metagenome
Description: partial contains 5.8S ribosomal RNA, internal transcribed spacer 2, and large subunit ribosomal RNA
Rfam family: 5.8S ribosomal RNA (bases 1-120)
Source: RNAcentral